This 501-nucleotide ribosomal RNA is filed under the name uncultured bacterium. RNAcentral describes it as "partial 16S ribosomal RNA". It matches the Rfam family "Bacterial small subunit ribosomal RNA", at positions 29 to 523 of the family's 1533-position model. The record is from RNAcentral.
AUUGAACGCUGGCGGCAUGCCUUACACAUGCAAGUCGAACGGCAGCACGGGUGUUUGCACCUGGUGGCGAGUGGCGAACGGGUGAGUAAUACAUCGGAACGUACCUUAUCGUGGGGGAUAACGCAGCGAAAGCUGUGCUAAUACCGCAUACGCCCUGAGGGGGAAAGCGGGGGAUCGAAAGACCUCGCGCGAUUAGAGCGGCCGAUGCCUGAUUAGCUUGUUGGUGGGGUAAAAGCCCACCAAGGCGACGAGCAGUAGCUGGUCUGAGAGGACGAUCAGCCACACUGGGACUGAGACACGGCCCAGACUCCUACGGGAGGCAGCAGUGGGGAAUUUUGGACAAUGGGGGCAACCCUGAUCCAGCAAUGCCGCGUGAGUGAAGAAGGCCUUCGGGUUGUAAAGCUCUUUUGUCAGGGAAGAAACACCGGCUCUAACACAGUCCGGGAAUGACGGUACCUGAAGAAUAAGCACCGGCUAACUACGUGCCAGCAGCCGCAGUAA